GCUAAUUUGAUUUCAUUUCCGCUUUCUUGUGUCCAGUGAUUUGUUCUAACUGCCCCACCAGCAGCUCGUGACCAGCAUGUGACUCCCUCGAUGGCCCAAGUAAUUUAGCAGGAGUCCGUCUGACUGCAGCGCUCUCAAGCCUCCUGGAGAGCGACAUCAGUUUGGUCACUUCGCCCAGCACUCCUUCUUCCUCAGUCUCCCUCCCUUCCCUCGCUUUCUGUCACUUUCUCAUUCCCCCACACGCUGCCCAGCACUCCAUGGCACACCAGCCCUGCCUCUCAGCUGCUGACCAUUGACCAUGUAGAAGAGGAAGAGGCAGCCGGUCAACGUGCUGCUGGAGCAUCCCGCAACAAGGAGGUGAUCAAAAGUCCAAAGAAACUUACCAUGGUGCACUUAAAGAAGACAGGAUCAGACUACUGCUUCUCGGAGAAAUCAUCAGGUAAAAAUACUGUACAUGUAUUU
This 462-nucleotide long non-coding RNA is filed under the name Neogobius melanostomus (round goby). RNAcentral's name for it is "lncRNA (ENSNMLG00000006984.1)". Lineage: Eukaryota; Metazoa; Chordata; Actinopteri; Gobiiformes; Gobiidae. The record is from RNAcentral.